UCUGAUAUUCUAUAAUUGGAUAUACCUCUGCCAGAAGUGCAAGAGUUGAGAAUCCUCAAACUAGCUUUCAACUAUGCGGCAAACUCUGAACUAGAAACUCACAGUAUUAGGUUGCCAAAAGAAAGAACUGUUGGUGAUGUGCUUGAGGAUCUCUAGGCGAAGGUGAAACUUUCUUGUCCAAAUGCAGAGCUCAGGUUGCUGGUAGUAUUCUUGCACAAGAUCUAUAAGAUAUAUCCUAAUAGUGAUAAGAUCGCAGCAAUAAAUGACAACCGCUGGACUUUAUGAGCAGAGGAGGUCUAUUUCUAUCUCUAUACAUAUGUGUGUCUAUGUAUAUAAAUGC
Molecule: non-coding RNA, 340 nt
Organism: Sesamum indicum (sesame)
Lineage: Eukaryota; Viridiplantae; Streptophyta; Magnoliopsida; Lamiales; Pedaliaceae
Source: RefSeq, a predicted model, not a curated record